ACUUUAAAUUUCAUGCCGUACCCGUAUCGGAUACGUCUUGGAUAUCGAUACGCGCCCGAUAUGUGUCCGAUACGGGAAUGAAGUAUUCGAUAUUUUUAAAAAAUAAAAAAAUAUCGGAUACGGUUCGGAUACGUGAGGGAUGCGGGGUGAUACGGGGGGAUAAGGUCAGAUUCUUUUUUGGUGUAAAAUAAUCGAAACUUAAAAUUUUUUUAAAAGCUCACAUCCAAACCUAUUGGAAAGAAGGAAAAGUGUGAGAAAAACACCAAUCUCUAUUCAAUUUGUCAUUUCAUCUAUCUUUUUAUUCUUGAAUGGUAGAAGGCGCUCCCUCUCAUUCUAUCUUCACACAGUAUUUACUCACUUUCUUUUAAUUUGUCAACCUAACAUUAAGCAACAAAGGUUAUAGAAAAUAUAAUUUUUUUUCCUUCUCUAUUAAAUUGUUAGCAUAUUUUUUUAUUACUAUUUUAAUAAUAUAACUAACAAAACAUACAUAAAUAUUGAAUGGUUAAUUAUCUAGUUUGUGCGACUACAUAUCUAUUAUUAUCAUUUGAUCAAGUUGGAUGAUAGUUGUUUGAUACUUUUUAAAUUAUUAUUUUAUAUGAUUGAUUAUCUGUUUUUAUGAACAUAUAUAGAACAAUUAUACAAAUUAAUGUAUAUUAGAAUAUAUUCCUUAAUAUAAUCUAGGUAUUCUGAUUGUUCUCAAUAUAUCAUUACAUAUAAUCAACAUAUACUUAAAUAUAUUUAAAAUAAUAUUUUAUUCAAGUAUAUUCCACGUAUCGUAUUCUAGAAGUUUUAAAAAUUACCGUAUCACCGUAUUCGUAUCGUGUCGUAUCCGUAUUCCUAUUUCCGUAUCUGUGCAACAUAGC
RNAcentral lists this long non-coding RNA (863 nucleotides) under Ananas comosus (pineapple). Its description in RNAcentral is "long non-coding RNA (ACOM_LNC025532)". Lineage: Eukaryota; Viridiplantae; Streptophyta; Magnoliopsida; Poales; Bromeliaceae. The record is from RNAcentral.